GUCUAUGGCAAUGCUACCCUGAACAAGCCCAAUCCCGUCUGAUCUCAGAAGCUAAGGAGGGUCGGGCCUGAGAUAGGAGACCACCUAGAAAGACUAGGUGCUGUAGGCA
This 109-nucleotide ribosomal RNA is filed under the name Pteropus alecto (black flying fox). The record is from RNAcentral. Lineage: Eukaryota; Metazoa; Chordata; Mammalia; Chiroptera; Pteropodidae.